UUUCCGUAGGUGAACCUGCGGAAGGAUCAUUACAAAGUCCUGGCCGGUCUGGCCGCCGUAAGCGCCGGCGGGAGCCCCUCGUGCCCCGUCGGUGCUGAUGGCCGACCCUUUGUGAAAACCCCCCCCUUGUUGAUUCGGCAGCGCCUCCCGGCUCGUCCGGGGCAUCAGCCUGCCGGUGAUACCUUUGGAAACCCUUUUGUCCUGAAAGGAAGCAUUGAUAACGUCUGAGCGCGCAGUCGAAUGACACGUAAAACUUUCAACAACGGAUCUCUUGGUUCCCGCAUCGAUGAAGAACGCAGC
This 300-nucleotide unclassified non-coding RNA is filed under the name uncultured fungus. Its description in RNAcentral is "sequence contains ITS1, 5.8S rRNA gene". The stretch from base 252 to 300 matches the Rfam family "5.8S ribosomal RNA", at positions 1 to 49 of the family's 154-position model. Lineage: Eukaryota; Fungi. The record is from RNAcentral.